GCCCUUGUAGCGCAAAUGAUUGCGCGUUGGACUUCUAAUCCGAAGUCCCCGGGUUCGAAUCCCGGCAAGGGUG
Argiope bruennichi is the source of this 73-nucleotide non-coding RNA. The record is from the annotation of a RefSeq genome assembly. NCBI's taxonomy places the organism in Eukaryota, Metazoa, Arthropoda, Arachnida, Araneae, Araneidae.